UGAAUGAGUAUUUAAAAAUUAAUAUGCGUGGGUAAAGAUUAGAGAUACCCAUAGUAGUGUGUAAUUCUUAGGUUGAAAUAAGGGGAAGGAACUCGGCAAAUUUUAGCUUCGCCUGUUUAUCAAAAACAUGGCUCUUUGGUAUUUAGGUAUAAAGAGUCAAACCUGCCCAGUGAAAUUUUUAACGGCCGCGGUACCCUGACCGUGCAAAGGUAGCAUAAUCAUUUGCCUUAUAAUUGAAGGCUUGUAUGAAUGGUUUAACGAAAGCACUGCUGUCUCCCCCUUAAUAAGUAGAAUUUGACUUUUAGGUGAAGAGGCCUAAAUGUAAUUGAAAGACAAGAAGACCCUGUCGAGCUUGAAAAUUAAGUUAGGAGCGAGAUAUAACAUGCCUUAAAUUUAUUACUAACUAUUUUUUUGGUUGGGGCGACCGAGGAACAAUAAAAGCUUCCUUUUUUGUAUUAACUUAUAGGUGCUGAUCCAGUUAGAGCUGAUUAAAAAAAUUAGUUACCGCAGGGAUAACAGCAUAAUCUCUCUUGAGAGAUCAAAUCGAAAGAGGGGGUUGUGACCUCGAUGUUGGACUAGAAUAUCCUAAAGAUGCAGAAGUCUA
RNAcentral lists this ribosomal RNA (604 nucleotides) under Sulcospira cf. krempfi LD-2018. RNAcentral describes it as "partial large subunit ribosomal RNA". It matches the Rfam family "Bacterial large subunit ribosomal RNA", at positions 1299 to 2565 of the family's 2925-position model. Lineage: Eukaryota; Metazoa; Mollusca; Gastropoda; Pachychilidae. The record is from RNAcentral.